UACAGAGGUCUCAAGCGUUGUUCGGAUUUACUGGGCGUAAAGGGCGCGUAGGCGGUCAGCACAAGUCAGUUGUGAAAUCUCCGGGCUUAACUUGGAAAGGUCAACUGAUACUGUGCGACUAGAGUGCAGAAGGGGCAACUGGAAUUCUCGGUGUAGCGGUGAAAUGCGUAGAUAUCGAGAGGAACACCAGUGGCGAAAGCGAGUCUCUGGAUAGCAACUGACGCUGAAGCACGAAGGCCAGGGGAGCAAACGGG
Molecule: ribosomal RNA, 254 nt
Filed under: uncultured bacterium
Lineage: Bacteria
Description: partial 16S ribosomal RNA
Rfam family: Bacterial small subunit ribosomal RNA
Source: RNAcentral